RNAcentral lists this ribosomal RNA (496 nucleotides) under uncultured bacterium. Its description in RNAcentral is "partial 16S ribosomal RNA". It matches the Rfam family "Bacterial small subunit ribosomal RNA", at positions 28 to 506 of the family's 1533-position model. The record is from RNAcentral.
GAUGAACGCUGGCGGCGUGCCUAAUACAUGCAAGUCGAGCGAACAGGCGAGGAGCUUGCUCCUCUGACGUUAGCGGCGGACGGGUGAGUAACGCGUGGAUAACCUACCUAUAAGACUGGGAUAACUUCGGGAAACCGGAGCUAAUACCGGAUAAUAUAUUGAACCGCAUGGUUCAAUAGUGAAAGACGGUUUUGCUGUCACUUAUAGCUGGAUCCGCGCCGCAUUAGCUAGUUGGUAAGGUAACGGCUUACCAAGGCGACGAUGCGUAGCCGACCUGAGGGGGUGAUCGGCCACACUGGAACUGAGAAACGGUCCAGACUCCUACGGGAGGCAGCAGUAGGGAAUCUUCCGCAAUGGGCGAAAGCCUGACGGAGCAACGCCGGGUGAGUGAUGAAGGUCUUCGGAUCGUAAAACUCUGUUAUUAGGGAAGAACAAAUGUGUAAGUAACUAUGCACGUCUUGACGGUACCUAAUCAGAAAGCCACGGCUAACUACGU